UACAGAGGUCUCAAGCGUUGUUCGGAUUCAUUGGGCGUAAAGGGUGCGUAGGCGGCGGGGCAAGUCGGAUGUGAAAUCUCAGGGCUCAACCCUGAAACUGCAUUCGAUACUGCCUUGCUCGAGGACUGGAGAGGAGAUUGGAAUUCACGGUGUAGCAGUGAAAUGCGUAGAUAUCGUGAGGAAGACCAGUGGCGAAGGCGGAUCUCUGGACAGUUCCUGACGCUGAGGCACGAAGGCCAGGGGAGCAAACGGG
This 253-nucleotide ribosomal RNA is filed under the name uncultured bacterium. RNAcentral's name for it is "partial 16S ribosomal RNA". It matches the Rfam family "Bacterial small subunit ribosomal RNA", at positions 524 to 776 of the family's 1533-position model. The record is from RNAcentral.